Molecule: ribosomal RNA, 497 nt
Filed under: uncultured bacterium
Lineage: Bacteria
Description: partial 16S ribosomal RNA
Rfam family: Bacterial small subunit ribosomal RNA
Source: RNAcentral
GAUGAACGCUGGCGGCGUGCCUAAUACAUGCAAGUCGAGCGAACGGACGAGAAGCUUGCUUUUCUGAUGUUAGCGGCGGACGGGUGAGUAACACGUGGAUAACCUACCUAUAAGACUGGGAUAACUUCGGGAAACCGGAGCUAAUACCGGAUAAUAUUUUGAACCGCAUGGUUCAAAAGUGAAAGACGGUCUUGCUGUCACUUAUAGAUGGAUCCGCGCUGCAUUAGCUAGUUGGUAAGGUAACGGCUUACCAAGGCAACGAUGCAUAGCCGACCUGAGAGGGUGAUCGGCCACACUGGAACUGAGACACGGUCCAGACUCCUACGGGAGGCAGCAGUAGGGAAUCUUCCGCAAUGGGCGAAAGCCUGACGGAGCAACGCCGCGUGAGUGAUGAAGGUCUUCGGAUUGUAAAACUCUGUUAUUAGGGAAGAACAUAUGUGUAAGUAACUGUGCACAUCUUGACGGUACCAAAUCAGAAAGCCACGGCUAACUACGUG